This 675-nucleotide ribosomal RNA is filed under the name uncultured bacterium. RNAcentral describes it as "bacterial SSU rRNA". It matches the Rfam family "Bacterial small subunit ribosomal RNA", at positions 249 to 896 of the family's 1533-position model. The record is from RNAcentral.
UUGGUGGGGUGAUGGCCUACCAAGGCGACGACGGGUAGCCGGCCUGAGAGGGUGUCCGGCCACACUGGGACUGAGAUACGGCCCAGACUCCUACGGGAGGCAGCAGUGGGGAAUAUUGCACAAUGGGCGCAAGCCUGAUGCAGCGACGCCGCGUGGGGGAUGACGGCCUUCGGGUUGUAAACCUCUUUCACCAUCGGCGAAGCCGGUAGCUUUUGUUGUCGGUGACGGUAGGUGGAGAAGAAGCACCGGCCAACUACGUGCCAGCAGCCGCGGUAGUACGUAGGGUGCGAGCGUUGUCCGGAAUUACUGGGCGUAAAGAGCUCGUAGGUGGUUUGUCGCGUUGUCCGUGAAAUUCCCUGGCUUAACUGGGGGCGUGCGGGCGAUACGGGCAGACUGGAGUACUGCAGGGGAGACUGGAAUUCCUGGUGUAGCGGUGGAAUGCGCAGAUAUCAGGAGGAACACCGGUGGCGAAGGCGGGUCUCUGGGCAGUAACUGACGCUGAGGAGCGAAAGCGUGGGGAGCGAACAGGAUUAGAUACCCUGGUAGUCCACGCCGUAAACGGUGGGUACUAGGUGUGGGUUUCCUUCCUUGGGAUCCGUGCCGUAGCUAACGCAUUAAGUACCCCGCCUGGGGAGUACGGGCGGCCUAUCAGCUUGUUGGUGGGGUGAUGGCCUA